AUCAGGUUUGCAUGUCAGGAAGAUUGCUUUGGCCACAGUGCAGAGGGUGCGUUGGACAGAGAAGGAAAGUGGGAGGGGUCUCACUGAGACCCUUCUGGAGAUCCACGGGUUCACAUCUUCUUUACUUUCCUCAACAGCCCCUCCAGGUGCCUGUGCAAGAUGUGGGAACUGCAGCACAGGGAGGGAGGAACGGCUACAGUUCGCCGGCCACAGGCCAGUGCAUGCGUGCUCAGUGGCCUCCAGCCGUGGCCACAUCCCAGGAAGAGGCAAUGCGAGUCUGAUCUAAGGCAGGAAGAGGCGCGGCAAGGCGGAGAGGACAGACUCCAGAUGGGCUUAAAACCAGAUUCCUAUCCUCAGGUCGAGUGGUCACCUAACCACCGGAACACCUGGCGGAGAUGCAAACACACGGGACCGCCCGAGCAUCACUUCGGAGAAGGACAGGUAUGUUCUUGUCCCCAUUUGACCUCUUUUCCUGGGGUCCUCACACCACAAUGAAACGAAACCAGAUCAUUCCGGGGAUCUGCCAGGGGAAGUUCCAAGAAGGGAGGAUGAGGGCAGGAAGCAGGCUAGUGCCUUGGAAACAGGUGUGUGCGUGUGUGUGUGUGUGUGUGGCACAUGCACACAUGUGAACCAGAGUUAAAAGAAUCAAGAUUUUUCUCUUGGUUUUUCUUGUGUUUUUGUUUCUCUUUUCUUUUUUCCCCCUUACUUUCCUUUUCUUCUCUUUUUCUUUCUUUUCUCAGGUCUAGUCCUUUCUGGGGCAUUCUCUAAAAGAUCUUGUGUGAAGGGAGGGUCUUCCCAGAAACUAGUCUGAGUGUGAAGGGACAGGGUCCCCAAACCCAAUAAGGCAGGGGGGACCUCGGGGGUGGGCUGGGGCCCCUGACCCCCUCUGGAAUUGCUUAACAUUUAUACCUUAUUAAUCACCUAGUCCCACAUGUACAUAACAAAAGCAAAUUAACCCUAUUAAAAGGUUUAUUGAAUUGCGAUGAUAUAUUAUCUUUGUGUUUGUUGCUUAUAGAUUCAUCUACUCACACAUGCUAAGAAUGGGGAAACCUUGUUUUCUGUCUUAUUCUUUCACCCAUUCACGCAUCCAUAAGUCAUUCUUCAUUUAACAAAUGUGUAUUAAGAAAGUGCUAUGGGGGCGCCUGGGUGGCACAGCGGUUAGGCGUCUGCCUUCGGCUCAGGGCGUGAUCCUGGAGUUAUGGGAUCGAGCCCCGCGUCAGGCUCCUCCGCUAUGAGCCUUCUUCCUCUCCCAAUCCCCCUGCUUGUGCUCCGUCUCUCGCUGGCUGUCUCUCUCUCUCUCUCUGUCAAAUAAAUAAAUAAAUAAAUAAAAAUCUUAAAAAAAA
This 1343-nucleotide long non-coding RNA is filed under the name Ursus maritimus (polar bear). RNAcentral's name for it is "lncRNA (ENSUMAG00000016739.1)". The record is from RNAcentral. Lineage: Eukaryota; Metazoa; Chordata; Mammalia; Carnivora; Ursidae.